UGGGGAAUAUUGGACAAUGGGCGCAAGCCUGAUCCAGCCAUGCCGCGUGAGUGAUGAAGGCCCUAGGGUUGUAAAGCUCUUUCACCGGUGAAGAUAAUGACGGUAACCGGAGAAGAAGCCCCGGCUAACUUCGUGCCAGCAGCCGCGGUAAUACAAAGGGGGCUAGCGUUGUUCGGAUUUACUGGGCGUAAAGCGCACGUAGGCGGACUUUUAAGUCAGGGGUGAAAUCCCGGGGCUCAACCCCGGAACUGCCUUUGAUACUGGAAGUCUUGAGUAUGGUAGAGGUGAGUGGAAUUCCGAGUGUAGAGGUGAAAUUCGUAGAUAUUCGGAGGAACACCAGUGGCGAAGGCGGCUCACUGGACCAUUACUGACGCUGAGGUGCGAGAGCGUGGGGAGCAAACAGG
This 404-nucleotide ribosomal RNA is filed under the name Actinomycetes bacterium. RNAcentral's name for it is "Actinobacteria bacterium partial 16S ribosomal RNA". It matches the Rfam family "Bacterial small subunit ribosomal RNA", at positions 355 to 776 of the family's 1533-position model. Lineage: Bacteria; Bacillati; Actinomycetota; Actinomycetes. The record is from RNAcentral.